GGGGCGGUAGCUCAGUUGGUAGAGCAACGGCCUUUUAAGCCGUGGGUCCCGGGUUCGAGUCCCGGCCGCCUCACCA
Molecule: transfer RNA, 76 nt
Filed under: Bryobacterales bacterium
Lineage: Bacteria; Pseudomonadati; Acidobacteriota; Terriglobia; Bryobacterales
Also listed under: 1 other name
Description: tRNA-Lys
Rfam family: tRNA
About the family: Transfer RNA (tRNA) molecules are approximately 80 nucleotides in length. Their secondary structure includes four short double-helical elements and three loops (D, anti-codon, and T loops).
Source: RNAcentral